GUAGGGGGCAAGCGUUAUCCGGAAUUACUGGGUGUAAAGGGAGAGUAGGCGGCAUGGUAAGUUAGAUGUGAAAGCCCGAGGCUUAACCUCGGGAUUGCAUUUAAGACUAUCAAGCUAGAGUACAGGAGAGGUAAGUGGAAUUCCUAGUGUAGCGGUGAAAUGCGUAGAUAUUAGGAAGAACACCAGUGGCGAAGGCGACUUACUGGACUGAAACUGACGCUGAGGCUCGAAAGCGUGGGGAGCGAACAGGAUUAGAUACCCUGGUAGUCCACGCCGUAAACGAUGAGUGCUAGGUGUCGGGGGGGGAACCCCUCGGUGCCGCAGCUAACGCAAUAAGCACUCCACCUGGGGAGUACGAUCGCAAGAUUG
This 369-nucleotide ribosomal RNA is filed under the name uncultured organism. Its description in RNAcentral is "partial 16S ribosomal RNA". It matches the Rfam family "Bacterial small subunit ribosomal RNA", at positions 527 to 896 of the family's 1533-position model. The record is from RNAcentral.